This is a long non-coding RNA of Canis lupus familiaris (dog), 683 nucleotides long. RefSeq lists it as uncharacterized. Lineage: Eukaryota; Metazoa; Chordata; Mammalia; Carnivora; Canidae. The transcript is spliced from 4 exons. The record is from RefSeq and is a predicted model, not a curated record.
UCCAUAGUUUCUAUGGUGACUGAAAGCCCUAAACAAAAUUCCUGUCUUUGACUCGGCCUCCUACAAAGUUGUCUGAACAUCAGUAUGUCUCAAUGAAACACGGUCCAUCCUGAUGCUUACGUAAAACCAGAUCACCUGAAUGCAUCUUACAUACCCACAUCUCUUCAGCCAAAAUGUCACUCAUAGUGCACUGGAGAAGGUAGGGCACCUCCACAUUACGGUCUCCAUCAAACACCCCAUAGAGGGCCUCCCGGUUGUCGCAGAAGUUGUUCACCGACAGGGCUGCAACGCACAACCUGCAGAGCAAGAGUGAUGCGUGCUAAGUCUACUCAUCUUUUCUUGCCCACCCAGCGCUAUUAACAGUCUUAUCUCUUUCUUCAUGACCUCAGAUGGGUUAAAAAUAAACCUAAGUGAACUUCAACUGUAAUUCUCUAUGGACAUCAAGAUGAGACUGUAUCAAAGAAUCCUUUCCCCAAACAAGGAGGUUUCAACUCCAUGCCAAUUCCACUAGGACCCCUGUUUCAAACUGAUGCUUCUUGUUCAAAGUAUCUGCUUAUUUAUUCCUUCCAUUAGACCAGAAUCCUGGAGAACAGAUACCACCACUUCUCCAGAGUCCUGAGCACUGUGCAUCACAAAGAGCAGAUGUCCAACAAAUACUUUUGUUCAAAUGAGGAACCAAUAAA